GUCGGAGGGAUGGCUGGCUAUCGGAGUCGGAGCGGGGGAUGCUCUCGAGAAAGAGGAAAUAUUUCGAUGAGCGUCGACUUUCUCGGAAGUUUUCACAUUGAAGAAUUUCAAGCUGGUUUCACAAGUAUUGAAAUAAGAAGGAAACGACUCGUCAAAUAGUGUACUGUUUACAGGGGUGAGCCUCGUGCUGUUAAAAGUGAAUGCGGGAGACUUAAGUUGUUUGUUUUUUUCGUCGGUGUUUACAGCGCUCACCUUCUGGAGCAGAGGUUGGGGUUUUUGUAGCCACAAUAAUUGGAUUAUAACUCGUCGUCUAAACCCUCAGUUCUGAGGGAUCGAAGCUCGGAUUAACAACCCUUGAACAUACCUUUUUGAAAUAUGUCAUGCUAUUGUUUGACAAAAUACGUUUGUCAAAAUAUACACAUUGGCAACAAGUGGAUUAAAGUUCGAAGGAUAACAAAAAUAUUAAUGACCAGUUCAACAAAAGGAUACAAUUGAAAAUGAAUGAAUAUAACUAGUGCUUAAAUCGUUACAGGAUUCUAAAGUUCAACGACUGAAUUCAAACACAUGUGGGAUGGGAUUUCAACGCUGAUGAUAUUAUCACAUGGACAAGGAAUUGGAGCUUUCUUCGGGUCGUCUUAUUGCUUAUUUAAUACGCGGCAGACAGAACGAUAAACGAGUUUCAAGAGAUAAAGCUUCCCUAUAUCUCUCUCGGUUUCCUGCACGUGCAAUCGCAGGCACCGUCCCCAGAACACCCCAAUCACAGCUGCAGAGAGAACGAUCUACGCCAUACCAUUCAUUAACCCUGAUGCCCCCAAAACAAAGGCCACUGUUGCUAAUUAGGUAGAGGGACGGGAACCCGAGUUCCGUCCUAUAGCUCCAGUGCCAGGACCCGAACGUGUUCUCAGUCAACAUUAAUGAAAACAAGCAUAUAAUGCGAAAAGAAAACUGAGUAAGGAAUGCACGACAACUGCCAGCUUCGUAACGGUGUAUGGUGAUAUUCCAAUGAAGACACUAUGAACUGGCAAAGGUAUAACUACAAGGUGCGACUGAGGGACGAUAGCUCCUGGAAGAGGCAGCACGCUCCGUGUUCCCGCCCGACUCCACCAGUGCUCAAGUCAAAGGGUGAUGUAAAUGAUGAAGAAAUCUAUGAUGAUGGGACGUCAAUCACAAAUAUCAAAGUAUUGGGAGUGAAAGACAAGAUAGCCAUGUUUGGUCCUAAACCAACCGUGGGUAGUAAACCCAUGUCGCCAGCGCUUGCCAAAUUUCAUGCCAUGCGAGAGGAGUCUGGUCAAGGAGGCAGCAAUGGGGGGACUCCUUCCUGGAAGAAACCUGCCCCACCAAAAUCCCCUGAACCUUCACCUGCCAACAAGGCACCCCCGGCAUGGAAGAAACCAACGCCAACUUCUGUGGCGGAUAAGAGUGAACCUAGCAAGACUGUGACAACUCCUUCAUGGAAGAAACCAACGCCAACUUCUGUUGACAAGGAUAAGAAUGAACCAAGCAAGCCUGUGACAACUCCUUCAUGGAAAAAACCAACACCGACAUCUUCGGACAAGGAUAAGAGUGAACCAAGCAAGACUGUGACAACUCCUUCAUGGAAGAAACCAACACCAACAUCCGACAAGGCUGAUGAAAACAAGACAGCCCCUCACACAACCACUCCUUCUUGGAAAAGACCUCCAUCUGGACCGGAGAAGACAACACCAGCUUGGAAGAAACCGACCCCAACAACGGGCAAAGACUCUCAACCAGAAACCGACCAAAACCAAAAUGUCACCAAUGUUCCUGCAUGGAAAAGACAAAGCAACAAAGUUAACAUUCCGGGUAAAUUUGGAGGUACGAGUCCUUCACCUGAGGUGACCAUUGAGGAGAAGCCCGUCAAUGGGACUGCUACAAAACCUACAUCACCAUCCUCACCCACAACCAAAUCAUCAGAGUCUGAUUCGGGGCAGAAGUUCGAUCCAAAGGCGUUAUUACGCCGUACAAGUACGGGGGAUACGACUCCCAAACAAAUCACUUUCAAUCAUCCACGUCAACGAUCACCAGAUGUAACGUCUCCAUUCUCUCCUGGAAAUACACCAAAGAGCCCCUCUUCCAACAUUCCUAAGCAUGUAACACAGUCAAAGACUAUUGUGAUACGGAAUGGCGAUGGUAAAAAGUAUGAAAAGUUGCCAAAGUCAUCAAUAAUUACCACUGACCUCAAACCAAUCAAACCACUCAAGCUACUUGGCUCAAAUGUGAAGGAUAUUAUAGCAGAAUACAUAAAAGCUUUCGACGAAUAUAAAAAUGCCAAUGAGGAGUUGUAUGAUGAUGUUGGCAACUACAUCCAGGCACCCGAAGAGCAAGAAGUAUAUGAUGAUGUGGCCAACACCAUUGAACAUCGAUCCAGUAACAGGAAAUCUAAAAGGCCUGUGUCUGAGAUUGCCGCGAUGACGGAGGAGGAGGAGAUGAGAGAGUUUGGAUCAGCUGGGUCAGCCUCAGCAUCUGGAGGGUCAGCCUCAAUCUCGGGGGGAUCUAUGGCAGCACCAGUCACAGAGGAGAUAUACGAUGACGCAGAGCAAGAUGAGCUGUACGAGCCACUCCCAGAAGAUGAAGAAAUUCAAAAACCUGAGGUGGUGAUUCCAACAAAGAAAAUUCAAAAACCUGAGGUGGUGAUUCCCAAAAAGAAGUUGGAGAUCAGCGCUCAAGAAGACAAGAAGGAACUAGAGAGGAAAGCUAAGGAAGCUGCAGAAAAGAAAAAGAAAGAAGACAAAGAAAGAAAAGAGAGGGAAAAGAAAGAGAAGGCAGAACAAGCAAAACUUGAGAAAGAGCGAAAGGAAAAGGAGAAGAAGGAGAAGGAAUUGAGGAAGAAGUUCAAGCUGACUGGAGAUGAAAAGAAAUCCGCUGAGGGAGUAGUGAGAUCAAAGGCUAAGGGCGGGAAGACCGAGCUGGCAGUGGAGACCGGUGAGAUUCUGGAUAUCAUCCGGAUGACCGAAAACCCAGCCGGGAAGUGGCUGGUUAUGAACAGAGAAGGAACAUAUGGCUAUGUAGAAUCAAAGAACAUCGACAUUGAAGAAACCGCGAUUAAAAAGGCCCAUCUGACAGAGAGAUUGUGACAAAACUAUAUGAAGGCAGGAAGAAAUGUAUGAAGAUUUGGAUGAGUUUCAAGCGGAAUCGGAAGAAAUUUAUGAAGAGUGUUCAUGAUGUCCCCCUUUGACAAGAUACCACAGAGGAGGACACAGUCUAUUGUGAAUAUGUAACAACAUUGACUCAAGGGAGAUCACUCUUGCCUCAAGGGAGAUAACAAUUUGUAUCACUGUCAACAGUGCUAUUUUUGUACAGCAUAUAUGCUGACCAAAUAUUCAUGGAAAAUAUAAGCAAGAGUUUAGAUUCAUUGUCAUUUUGUCCACAAUCAAAAGAUACACAAAUGUCAAUCAUUUCUAAUUGUGAUUGUAAAUGUAAAUUUUCACUACUGUUACUUUGAAAUUGGCCAGUGUGUAGAGCUGGUCCUUGCUCCUCAUAACCAGCUGAUGAUCCACUGUGAUUAGCUGGUAGCCUUGUCUUCGGAGAUGUCGAGAUUGCUGCUGUCUGUAACACUACAAUAUUUUAGGCAUUAUAGUCACAUUAUGGUUAGGUUAAUUUGCAUGGCAAUAAGUGUUACAUUUGAAAUGUCACUUGGAAACCAUUCCAUUUUUUGUUUUACAUUUUUAAGUUUAUUUAAUUUUCUUAGUUCAUGUUGUGAGUGAAUGGAUCAAAUACCUGUAUUGUGCAAUCAAUCAACAACAAUAUUCCAGAUAGGCUUUCAUGUGAUGCAGGAUCUCCAUUUAUAAGAAAUGCAAGGAUGUAACCAUAGAAUUUUGUAUUAAGGAUGAAUUGAUAUACCGUAUUCGACCCAAUAAGCGCCCAGGGCGCUUAAAAUAAAGACAGAAGGGGUGGGCGCUUAUUGGGACCAAUUCAGAGUCAAAUUGGCGUAAAUUCAUCAGUAAGCCUAUUGAUAUUCUUCUGUUGCUGGGGGGCUAGAGAUUAACUGUUACUUACGUUUUACUGGUGAACAUCUCCUCAUUAACCAACUACAAAAGAUUCUUGACUGUAUGUAAAAAACAGGUGAGUAAAUCUCAUCCGGGAAAAGGGGGGGGGGGGGGCUUAUUGGGACAUGGGCGCUUAUUGGGUCAAAUACGGUAACACAAUUACCCCUAAGUUUUGAUUAUUAUUCUUAAAACUAUUUAUUUCUAGUUCUGCUUAGUUUUCUUGUCUGCACUGCAUCUAGUUUAUGUAUAAGCAUCCAUUGACAUAGAACUUCAUUGUUUUGGUUACAAUCUUUGGUCUGUUUCAAACGGCACUGACUACAAAUGUAAAUAUAUAUGUGUACAUAUCUGAGAGCAUGUAAAACAAAGUCGUACCAUCCAUGGCGUGUUGAUGUCGAUACAGUUCAUAAUAUGUUGCAAGCAGUAGUGAGACAGGUGCCGACCAUCUUGUCCGCCAACAUGCGGGGAGGUUUUCUUUCUGUAAAUAAUCGGCCAAAGAAAUGAUUUGCUCUCUUUUUAUGAUUUCUCGAUUUUUUUCAUGCUUUUGGAUGCCAACACAACCAAACCGCGAAGUCCACAGGGAUGAUUAAGUGGUUGGUCUUAUGGUUCUGAUAUACUGUAAAUCUUGUAAUUAAUGCGUCUCCAAAAGAAUGCGACCACUGGACCCUAGCCAAAAAUGCAACUCAAGAUGAAUGCGACACCCCCUCCUCUCAAGCAUCACUGGAUUUCUAUCUAAAGAUGUCCUCAGUCGGGUUUAGAAUCCUCACCUUAAUCCAACCUUACAUUAAUCCAAUCACACAACAAAUAGCAACGCUUUUUAGCGCUGAGUAAAGUACUUCCGCAAAAACAAUGCAUGGGCACUGGCUCGUGUCGGCCUUUGACGCAGUCACAAACAACUAAGGGUGGUGUCUGUCUGGACUUGCAGGUGUGAUCAGUGAUGACAUAAGUGAGUAGAACACUUGUCUUGACCCUAGCAGUGACAAUUCACAGGAUGUGAUUAGUGUUUGAAUGACAUUGUUUAUAUACUUUAUAUACAAGUGCUGCUCAAUAAACAGUGGUGUGGAAUACAUCAGCGUAUGUCUAAGUUGGUAUUUUUGGUAUCCAAAAUGUCUUAUUGUUGAUAUAAAUGCAAUGUUUAAAAAUGCGAGCAAAGACCACUCGCAUUUUUCGCAUUUAAUUCACGCUCGCGUUAAUUUCAAGAUUUACAGUAGUCGUUUGGUGCCAUAUUUCUAGAAGAUGGUAUCUGUGUACCAGCUUCAUUUAUAGUAAUAUAUAUAUAUAUAUAUGAUAGCCUCUAUAUCAAUCUCAUUAAAAUCAGAUCUUAGUUUUCGCUACUGCUAACCAAAGAUCUGAGGACAUCCCAUUACCAGUCACGUCAGAACGACCUUUCGCGAAUUUUGAUCGACCAAUGAAAUGACUGACAAGAAACCGACAUUGGCCAAUCAGAAGUCAGAUCUGAUUUAAAUGAGAUUGGUCUCUAUAUGUAUGCAAGAGUUUGAGCAACUGUUUAUGUUGUAGUAUGGAUGUUUGGAACAGAUGUACAUAAUUACCAUAGAUAUUCGGAUGAUUUGUGAACUCAGACAAGGCAUUUAUGGCAAUUUUUUCUUGGUUAAUUUUGAAACACAUUUCCAAAACUUUUAGCAAUACUUCUUCCAUGAAGAAACAUUUGACUAUAAGGAAAUAGAGCAUGGAGAUUCAAAGUAAAAUUAAAUGAUACCGGUGUUUGUAGUUUUUGAAAAUAUUACAGGUGAUUAAUUUUUUUUGUUUGUUAAGGAUCCACCGACAUAAAGAAAAUAGCAAAAUAAAAUUUAAAUGACGUUCUUGAUAUAUUUUUUUAUAUACUGCUGAUGGUAUAAGAAAAGAAAUAUGUUAAAAAUAUGUUAACAUGAAAUAUCACUCAAUUUAGUUUUUGUUGAAAAGAGGAUUUAUUGCGAAAUAUGAAAUACAUGGUGAAGUGUUUACCAUUUAAGUUUGAAGCGAUGUAGACCUAUAAGAGUUACGGCCCUUUGAUAUUUGCCAUCUGGAUGUGGAGCCGGAAACUUGCAAAAUUCAUGUGCCUUGUGAGUGCAGUCGAGGGAUAUUAAUUCAGGAAAUACAUGUUCAUUUAGAGACAGUUUUUGUUUUUUGGCCAUGGAAAUUUUAAGAACAAAACAAACACCUGUAAACUGACUAAAAAUAUGAAUCACCUUAUAGAAGCAAUAUUUUGGUUUAGUAGUGAGAUUCACAUUUCUGUGCUUAUGCCUUGGGAUCAAUAUACUCACUUCAAUAAUAUGCAAUACCAAGCACGUUUUUGUUUUAAUUACCCACCUAACUUGCUUAUGGGCUAACGUUACAUUUAUUGUGUGUUCUUUUUGUGUAAUUAGCAUAAUGAUUAAUCAAUUCAUUAAUCAAGAGAAUGUCUGCUUUUUCCUGAUUCAUGAAGGAGGAACUUAUUCCUGAAUUAACAAAUGUAAAACUACUUACUGUAUAUAUCUAGCUUUAUUUCCUAGCUUUAAUUGUUAGAUUACCAAAGUCUCGUGUGUAUUACUUCCAAGGGACUGGCUUUGCUGUCUGCUCUUCUUUCCAACCCAGUCUUGGUUUGUUCCACAUAGUGAUAUUAGUAGUUCUGAGGUGAUCGUAGCUCCUAUACCUUAACAUCGACUUACUGUUGUCGUAACGCUACAAUGAUGGUGUAAUUAGUGCUGUGUGUCAUUAUCUCUGUGUAAGGAAAUGAUGUGUAACUGUUUGGUUGACGUACAUGACGUUUAGGUUGCUUAAGACGGCAGUGUUUAAGACAUGACUCAAACGUGUUAGGAAUACCAACUCGAUGUCUCAUUAAUGAUAUAUUGGCUUCUGAAACAUGCAUUGCAAUGUGAAUAAAUCAAUUCAAAUCUUUUUCACAGAAACAAGGAAUAUGGUCAGUUGUGAUCAGAGUUACUGCCCUUCAUUUUCCUUCUUUUUUUUUUAUAAUUUGAACCAAUAAAUUAUUUUUUUCCUUUAUUAAGUCACAGAAAACACAAGUCAGAGUUAGAUUGACAAAAAAAAUUCACGAUGUUGCCUUUGAGGUCCGGGUAGUCCAGUUGGUAUCUGGGCCCUACUCGGGACCCAGCCACCGAGUACCCGAGUUACCCAUCCCAGCCCUAGAGGAAGCAGUUAUGGUCUGAGAGUGUGGAGUCCUACACAAGACCUGCUAGUUGAUGAUAUGUAAGGGCAGGAAAUCAAUGCAAGACCUUUCUGAACGUUUUGUGUCCGAUGUAAAUUCAAGCUAUUUGCAGUGUGUGGAUACCCAUCUUCAUCAUGUCCAAAAAAUUCACGAUGUUGCCUUUGAACUGAGUUCUCCAUCUUUACCAAAAUCUGGUCAACCAGAAUCUAGACUUUCUUUGCACUAGGGUCCUUCACUCGUUAAAUCUCUACAUUUGGCAACCUAUGUGAACUGUCACCUUAAUCCAGGAGUACUGUUGGGUGUGUCUCUUCACAAGGUUGGUCACAUGUGGCCCAGUCGUCUAAGGUGCCGCAAUUCGCUGUGCAGAGUUGCGUCCCUUGGGCACGCCAGACACCUAUGAUUGUGGGUUCGAAUCCCCGUUCUCCCUGAUUAUGUUUCUAGGUUUGUCAGCACCAUACCCGUGCUCGUUGGUUUCACCGAAGUAGAAAACAUCUAAGACCUGCCUGCAUCACAUCAGGCUUUCUUCCCACAUUGAGCUGACACACUGUGAUAUAACUGGAAUACUGUUAAGAGCGGUGUUAAACCCAAAUCACUUAUUCACUCUUCACAAGGAACACAUUACCUCACAAAAGAUUCAUGAAUUUCAAUUUGCUUGGGCUGAACUUUUUAAAUAGUUUUCAAUAUUAAUUCAUGUCAUUUUUUAGCAAGUUAUGGAUUAAUGUAUUUUUGAACCACUAAAAAACUUUAAUUCUUACUUAGGAAUUAUAUGGAGGAAUGAACAUGAUAUAAUUGAUUUUAAUAUGCUAACUUUUGAUUGCAAGUGCUCAUUUUUUGUUUAUCAAUUAUUAUUUGCUCAAUUAAAUCAUUUGUUGUUAUGCUAAUGAUUACCUUCAGGAUCAGAGGAAGUAGGGCUGGGAUGAGUCCAAAUUUACAACCUGGGUACCCGACCCCUGAUUACCCAACCCUUCCCGGGUAUGCACUGUAGGUCUUAAGCUUUACCAGAGUCCAAAUUUACAACCCGGGUACCCAACCCCCGAUUACCCAACCCUAUCCGGGUACGCGCUGUAGGUCUUAAGCUUUACCGGAGUCCAAAUUUACUACCCCGGUACCCGACCCCCUAUACCCAACCCUAUCCGGUUACGCGCUGUAGGUCUUAAGUUUUACCAGAGUCCAAAUUUACUACCUGGGUACCCGACCCCCGAUUACCCAACCCAAUAUUGGUACGUGCUGUAGGUCUUAAGUUUUACCGGAGUUCUGGCAAAAUUAAAGCUGCUCAGAUACAUGCACAAAAGUUGACAGAAGCUGUAUCUACUCAAACAAAUAAAAGUCAGAAGGAAUGCAUCCACAGUCAUCAAGAAAUAUGAAUAUUUAGCAACUGACCUGUGAAGAUCUGGAGUAGAGUAGGUCUUCAGCAACCAGUGCCUGCCGUAAAAGGCAAUAUGCUUGCCGUAAGAGGGGACUAACGGGAUCGGGAGGUCAGGCUCGCUGACUUGGUUGAUGCAUGUCAUCAUAUCCCAAUUGUGUGGAUCGAUGUUCACGAUGUCAAUGACUGGAUUGUCUGGUCCAGGCUUGAUUAUUUACAUACUGCCGUCAUAUAGCUGGAACAUUGCUGAGUGCGGCAACAAACAAACAAAUAAACAAAUUUAGCAACUCAUGUAUCCAUGGAGUUAUACUGCAUCAUCAUUAAACAAUAUAUCACGUGACUGACCACAGUUCCGGGCAGUCCAGUGGGUAUCUGGGCCCUACUCAGGACUCACCCACCGUGUACCCGAGUUACCCAUCCCAGCCCUAGAGGAAGCUGUUAUGGUCUGAGAGUGUGGAGUCCUACACAAGACCUGCUGGUAUGAUGAUAUGUAAGGGCAGGAAAUCAAUGCCAGACCUUUCUGAACGUUUUGUGUCCAAUGUAAAUUCAAGUUAUUUGCAGUGUAUGGACACCCAUCUCAAUCAUGUC
This 9097-nucleotide unclassified non-coding RNA is filed under the name Haliotis rufescens (red abalone). RNAcentral's name for it is "calponin homology domain-containing protein DDB_G0272472-like, transcript variant X8". Lineage: Eukaryota; Metazoa; Mollusca; Gastropoda; Lepetellida; Haliotidae. The record is from RNAcentral.